Molecule: ribosomal RNA, 301 nt
Filed under: uncultured bacterium
Lineage: Bacteria
Description: partial 16S ribosomal RNA
Rfam family: Bacterial small subunit ribosomal RNA
Source: RNAcentral
CAGCAGCCACGGGAAUACAGAGGGUGCGAGCGUUAAUCGGAUUUACUGGGCGUAAAGCGUGCGUAGGCGGCUUCUUAAGUCGGAUGUGAAAUCCCUGAGCUUAACUUAGGAAUUGCAUUCGAUACUGGGAAGCUAGAGUAUGGGAGAGGAUGGUAGAAUUCCAGGUGUAGCGGUGAAAUGCGUAGAGAUUUGGAGGAAUACCGAUGGCGAAGGCAGCCAUCUGGCCUAAUACUGACGCUGAGGUACGAAAGCAUGGGGAGCAAACAGGAUUAGAUACCCCAGUAGUCCCUGUCUCUUAUAC